CGUGCUACAAUGGCGCAUACAAAGAGAAGCGACCUCGCGAGAGCAAGCGGACCUCAUAAAGUGCGUCGUAGUCCGGAUUGGAGUCUGCAACUCGACUCCAUGAAGUCGGAAUCGCUAGUAAUCGUGGAUCAGAAUGCCACGGUGAAUACGUUCCCGGGCCUUGUACACACCGCCCGUCACACCAUGGGAGUGGGUUGCAAAAGAAGUAGGUAGCUUAACCUUCGGGAGGGCGCUUACCACUUUGUGAUUCAUGACUGGGGUGAAGUCGUAACAAGGUAACCGUAGGGGAACCUG
RNAcentral lists this ribosomal RNA (294 nucleotides) under Escherichia coli. RNAcentral's name for it is "partial 16S ribosomal RNA". It matches the Rfam family "Bacterial small subunit ribosomal RNA", at positions 1221 to 1514 of the family's 1533-position model. The record is from RNAcentral. Lineage: Bacteria; Pseudomonadati; Pseudomonadota; Gammaproteobacteria; Enterobacterales; Enterobacteriaceae.